UUGAGACCUAAAUCAAUGCCAGACAAUACGAACAACAGUUUAAAAUCCAAAGAAAUUGGCGGUAUCUUAUGUAAUCAGGGGAACCUGUCUCUUAAUUCGAUAAUCCACGAAACCCAACCCUAGUUUCGAAUAACAGCCUGUGUACUGCUGUCGUCAGUAAACCUCUAAAAGACAGUUUACGCUAAAUAUGUAAAAUCAAUAUUCACGUCAAGUCAAAGUGCAGCCUAUAACUAGGAGACGAUGGGUUACAAUCUCUAAACAGAAAUGAAUUAACAAUAUAAAUUAUUAUUAUGAAAGUGGACUUGAGAGUAAUGAUCAUAACAUACUAUCAUAAAUCAAUACCUAAGAAUGCACACAUCGCCCGUCACUCUCCUCAUAAGACG
Molecule: ribosomal RNA, 383 nt
Filed under: Henlea nasuta
Lineage: Eukaryota; Metazoa; Annelida; Clitellata; Enchytraeida; Enchytraeidae
Description: partial 12S ribosomal RNA
Rfam family: Bacterial small subunit ribosomal RNA
Source: RNAcentral